GAAAGUAAAGCUCAAGUGGUAGAGCGCAUGCUUAGCAUGCACGAGGUCCUGGGUUCAAUCCCCAGUACCUCCU
This is a transfer RNA of Camelus ferus (Wild Bactrian camel), 73 nucleotides long. It matches the Rfam family "tRNA". Rfam says of the family: Transfer RNA (tRNA) molecules are approximately 80 nucleotides in length. Their secondary structure includes four short double-helical elements and three loops (D, anti-codon, and T loops). The record is from Rfam. Lineage: Eukaryota; Metazoa; Chordata; Mammalia; Artiodactyla; Camelidae.